Molecule: ribosomal RNA, 249 nt
Filed under: uncultured Actinomycetales bacterium
Lineage: Bacteria; Bacillati; Actinomycetota; Actinomycetes; Actinomycetales
Description: partial 16S ribosomal RNA
Rfam family: Bacterial small subunit ribosomal RNA
Source: RNAcentral
CGGAGGUACUCGAGUGGCGAACGGGUGAGUAACACGUGGGUGAUCUGCCCUGCACUCCGGGAUAAGCCUGGGAAACUGGGUCUAAUACCGGAUAGGACCAUGCUUUAGUGUGUGUGGUGGAAAGUUUUUUCGGUGUAGGAUGAGCCCGCGGCCUAUCAGCUUGUUGGUGGGGUAAUGGCCUACCAAGGCGGCGACGGGUAGCCGGACUGAGAGGUUGGUCGGCCACAUUGGGACUGAGAUACGGCCCAG